ACGAACGCUGGCGGCGUGCUUAACCCAUGCAAGUCGAACGCUGAAGCUCAGCUUUUGUUGGGUGGAUGAGUGGCGAACGGGUGAGUAACACGUGAGUAACCUGCCCCCUUCUUUGGGAUAACGCCCGGAAACGGGUGCUAAUACUGGAUAUUCACUGGUCUUCGCAUGGGGGUUGGUGGAAAGGGUUUUUCUGGUGGGGGAUGGGCUCGCGGCCUAUCAGCUUGUUGGUGGGGUGAUGGCCUACCAAGGCUUUGACGGGUAGCCGGCCUGAGAGGGUGACCGGUCACAUUGGGACUGAGAUACGGCCCAGACUCCUACGGGAGGCAGCAGUGGGGAAUAUUGCACAAUGGGCGCAAGCCUGAUGCAGCGACGCCGCGUGAGGGAUGGAGGCCUUCGGGUUGUGAACCUCUUUCGCUCAUGGUCAAGCCGCAACAAUGGUUGUGGUGAGGGUAGUGGGUAAAGAAGCGCCGGCUAACUACGUG
RNAcentral lists this ribosomal RNA (482 nucleotides) under uncultured bacterium. Its description in RNAcentral is "partial 16S ribosomal RNA". It matches the Rfam family "Bacterial small subunit ribosomal RNA", at positions 29 to 507 of the family's 1533-position model. The record is from RNAcentral.